This 300-nucleotide unclassified non-coding RNA is filed under the name fungal sp. Its description in RNAcentral is "partial internal transcribed spacer region". The record is from RNAcentral. Lineage: Eukaryota; Fungi.
AAGUCGUAACACGGAAGGAUCAUUAACACGCAUCCAAUGUUAAACAACCCUGUGAACUUUCAACGCUCUUGUAACCACAGCAAUCCCGGUAAAUCAGUGGGCGGAAAAGUUUUGAUUCGGGACCUCUGUCCAAAAGUUACAAUCGAGCUAGGAGCAGUGGCAUGGUUUCCCUGCAGUGCAGAAGUAUCCACUGAGUAAGGAUAACGCAUCACGGUUGCCAGAGGUCGAUCGGGCUAUAUCCCCUCGUUUCCGCCGGGCACAAAAACCGAACAACUGUUAACAAUGGAUAUCUUGGUUCUC